GGAAGGAUCAUUAACACUUCUUUAAAAAAAACCAACCUCCUUUUUUUUCUCGGAAAGAAAGGAGGUGAAACUUUGUGUUCAGGGAAAUUCCACUUUUCUUGAACACGAGGGACACCCUAAAGUGUGAACAUGUUGAAGUAUUUAACCACAAAAAAAAAAGAAAGUUCUUUCUUUUCUUUUUUUGGUUAAACUAUUUUUAAACACCUUUCUAAAAUAAAUGUUAAACAAACAAAUAAUGACUAAUGAAAAAAGUAAGUUCAAAGAAAGAAGAAAAAAAAAAAAAUACAAUAAAGCCUUAAAAAAAGCUUUGUUUGUAUCUCCUUUUUCUUUUCUUUUCUUUAAACUGAAAAAACCAAUAAGAUAACCUUAAAAGACAACUUUUAACAACGGAUAUCUUGGUUCUCGCAACGAUGACGAGCGCAGCGAAAUGCGAUACGUAAUGUGAAUUGCAGGAUUCAGUGAAUCAUCGAACUCUUGAACGCAUAUUGCGCUGGCAAUUCUUUUGUCAGCACGCCUGUUUGAGUAUCGGUUUUCAUUAUCAACUUUUCCCUUUUUUUCUUCGGGAGAAAAGACAAAAAAAAAGUUGGACUAUGGAUGUUUGAACGGCGGAAACACACUUGUGUGUUUUUUGUUUUCAAUCGUCUUAAAAUGAAAGGUGGUAUUUUUCUUUCUCUGUAAAGAGAGAGAGCACGAAACCUCUUUUUAUAUGAUGGUCAUUAGGGCGUUUCUCGCUUUUCUUUUUUUAAGAAAAACGAAAACAAACACUACCAUUGUAUUUUGUGUUUUGUGGUUAAAAAAAUAUGAAUACCCUGAAUAAAAAUCUUGAGAUGGUAAACAUUUCAAAUUACAAAAAAAAACCUAAUCUCGAUCUCAAAUCAGGCGAGACAACCCGCUGAAUUUAAGCAUAUCAAUAAGCGGAGGAAAAGAAACUAACUAGGAUUCCCUCAGUAACGGCGAGUGAAGCGGGAAGAGCUCAAAUUGAAAAUCUUCAGGGAUUCAGUUCCUUGACGAAUUGUAGUUUUGUGACUGGCAUUUACGCGGUAGGCGACGCGGACGUAAGUCUCCUGGAAUGGAGCGCCCUGGAGGGUGAGAGCCCCGUGUCUGUCCGUGCAACGUUCGCCUGCCAACACGUACUGCUAGUUCGCCGAGUCGAGUUGUUUGAGAGUACAGCUCAAAAUGGGUGGUAAAUUUCAUCUAAAGCUAAAUAAUGGCGAGAGACCGAUAGCGAACAAGUACCGUGAGGGAAAGAUGAAAAGAACUUUGAAAAGAGAGUUAAAAGUACUUGAAAUUGUUAAAAGGGAAGCGAUUGGAACCAGUCGAUGCGCGCCGUUCAAUCAGUCGCGAGCUCGCGUGCGGGCGGUGGUCAGCGAGGGAUCCAUGGCGGUCUCCGUUUUUGGCUGUCGUCUUGCGCUGCGUGGGCGAGCGGUGCACUUGGGCGGUGUCUUAAGCGAGUCAGCGUGAGUCUGCGCGUUUUUUUGCGGUAGAAGAGCGGCGGGAAGGUAGCGUGCCGGCUGGCUCAUGCCAGCUUUGGUGCGUGUUAUAGCCCGCUGUGGAUGCCGUCGCGUGGACUGAGGCGCCCUAUGGGCGUGGACGAGCGUUUCUUUCAUUAGGGACUGGAGACGUGCCGGUGGGAGGUCGGCGGUCAUGGGUACAGCCUAGCUCGUGCCUGUGGCUCUGUUCGGCUUCCGGUGUCGGUGCUAUUCACAGCUCUCGUCAAGGACGCUGACGAAAUGGUUUCAAUCGGCCCGUCUUGAAACACGGACCAAGGAGUCUAACAUGUGUGCGAGUACUUGGGUGACAGAAACCCGGGAUGCGUAAUGAAAGUAAACCCUCAUGAUGGGAAGUGGGUGCCCUCGCGGCUGGCCCACGGCACCAUCGACCGACCUUGAUAUCUUUGGAUAGGUUUGAGUGAGAGCAUACCUGUUGGGACCCGAAAGAUAGCGAACUAUGCCUGCAUAGGGUGAAGCCAGACGAAAGUCUGGUGGAGGCUCGUAGCGAUACUGACGUGCAAAUCGUUCGUCAAAUGUGGGUAUAGCGGCGAAAGACUAAUCGAGCUGUCUAGUAGCUGGUUUCCUC
This 2076-nucleotide unclassified non-coding RNA is filed under the name uncultured fungus. Its description in RNAcentral is "sequence contains 18S rRNA gene, ITS1, 5.8S rRNA gene, ITS2, 28S rRNA gene". The stretch from base 866 to 2076 matches the Rfam family "Eukaryotic large subunit ribosomal RNA", at positions 1 to 961 of the family's 3401-position model. Lineage: Eukaryota; Fungi. The record is from RNAcentral.